UAUGGUCAAGCUACUAAGGGCACAUGGUGGAUGCCUUGGCGUCAGGAGGCGAUGAAGGACGUGGCUAGCUGCGAUAAGCUUCGGGGAGCCGCUAAACAGGCUUAGAUCCGGGGAUUUCCGAAUGGGGCAACCCAGUACCGAUAAUACGGUAUUAUCCUUAGCUGAAUACAUAGGCUAUGGAGGCGAACGGGGGGAACUGAAACAUCUCAGUACCCUCAGGAAAAGAAAACAACAGUGAUUUCCCUAGUAGUGGCGAGCGAACGGGAAAGAGCCUAAACCGUAUAUGUGUGAUAGCCCACAGGUGUUGCAUAUGCGGUGUUGCGGGUUUUUACUUGGUUGCGCUGUGGCGCAGCCGGGGAGUUACCAAAUUAAUCUAUAAUCGAACCUUGUGGAAACUUGGGCCAUAGCAGGUGACAGCCCUGUAGAUGAAAUAGAUUAAUCUCCCUUGUAGAACACCCAAGUACUUCGGGACACGUGAAACCCUGAAGGAAUCCGGGAGGACCAUCUCCCAAGGCUAAAUACUACCUGACGACCGAUAGUGAACAAGUACCGUGAGGGAAAGGUGAAAAGUACCCCUGGCGGGGAGUGAAAUAGUACCUGAAACCGUGUGCCUACAAGCCGUGGGAGCACUAUUUGCUGAAGCUUGCUUCUUCAAAGUGUGACUGCGUGCCUUUUGCAUAAUGAGUCCGCGAGUUACUGUGUGUUGCAAGGUUAAGCCGCAAGGUGUAGCCGUAGCGAAAGCGAGUCUGAACAGGGCGUUCAGUAGCACUCAGUAGACCCGAAACCGAGUGAUCUAGCCAUGGCCAGGGUAAAAGUUCGGUAAAACGAACUGGAGGCCCGAACCAGUGAGAGUUGAAAAUCUUUUGGAUGAGCUGUGGCUAGGAGUGAAAGGCUAAUCAAACUCGGAGAUAGCUGGUUCUCCCCGAAAUAUAUUUAGGUAUAGCCUUACGUAAUAGCGGGCGGAGGUAGAGCACUGAAUGGGAUAGGGGUCUUACAGGAUUACCAAACCCAAUCAAACUCCGAAUGCCGCCUUGCCGUAUCGUAGGAGUCAGUCGGCGGGAGAUAAGUUCCGUCGUCGAGAGGGAAACAACCCAGAUCACCAGCUAAGGUCCCUAAUAUUUGCUAAGUGGGAAAGGAAGUGAGGACGCCCAGACAGCCAGGAGGUUGGCUUAGAAGCAGCCACCCUUUAAAGAAAGCGUAACAGCUCACUGGUCGAGUGUCCUUGCGCCGAAAAUGUAACGGGGCUUAAGCAUAUAACCGAAGCUGUGACUUUGAUGCUUGCAUCAAGGGGUAGGGGAGCGUUCCAGAUCCUGUGAAGUCAGACCGUAAGGACUGGUGGAGGUACUGGAAGUGAUUAUGCGGACAUGAGUAGCGACAAUGCGGGUGAGAAACCCGCACGCCGAAAGCCUAAGGGUUCCUGGGGAAGGUUAAUCCACCCAGGGUUAGUCAGUGCCUAAGCCGAGGCUGAAAAGCGUAGGCGAUGGAAAACAGGUUAAUAUUCCUGUACCACCAUAAUGGCGUUUGAGUGAAGGGGUGACGUGGAAGGGUAGGCCAUCCAGGCGUUGGUUGUCCUGGUUUAAGCCUGUAGGUGGGGAAGGCAGGCAAAUCCGCUUUCCUAAUUGCAAACACUGAGAGGUGAUGAGGAGGAGCUUUGCUCCGCAAACUGGUUGAUCCCAUGCUACCAAGAAAAACCUCGUAGCGAGUCAGUAUGGUGACUGUACUGUAAACCGACACAGGUAGGCAGGGUGAGUAUCCUAAGGCGCUUGAGAGAACUCUCGUUAAGGAACUCUGCAAAAUGACUCCGUAACUUCGGGAGAAGGAGUGCCCCACCAGCGUGAAGCGGUUCGCCCGUGGAGCGUGAAGGGGCCGCAGAUAAAUGGCGGUAGCGACUGUUUACUAAAAACACAGGUCUCUGCUAAGUCGAAAGACGAUGUAUAGGGACUGACGCCUGCCCGGUGCUGGAAGGUUAAGGGGAAGUGUUAUUCGCAAGAAGAAGCUCUGAACCGAAGCCCCAGUAAACGGCGGCCGUAACUAUAACGGUCCUAAGGUAGCGAAAUUCCUUGUCGGGUAAGUUCCGACCUGCACGAAUGGCGUAACGAUUUCCGCACUGUCUCGACGAGAGGCUCAGCGAAAUUACAAUAGCGGUGAAGAUGCCGUUUACCCGCGGUUAGACGGAAAGACCCCGUGAACCUUUACUAUAGCUUGACAGUGAGUUUUGGGAUGUUCUGUGUAGGAUAGGUGGGAGACUUUGAAGCUGGGACGCUAGUUUCGGUGGAGUCAACCUUGAAAUACCACCCUGAUCCUUCUGAGAUUCUAACCUGGGCCCGUCAUCCGGGUCGGGGACACUGUCUGGUGGGUAGUUUGACUGGGGCGGUCGCCUCCCAAAGAGUAACGGAGGCGCACGAAGGUUCCCUCAGGCUGAUUGGAAACCAGCCAUAGAGUGUAAACGCAUAAGGGAGCUUGACUGCGAGACAGACAUGUCGAGCAGGUGCGAAAGCAGGUGUUAGUGAUCCGGCGAUUCCGCAUGGAAGGGUCGUCGCUCAACGGAUAAAAGGUACUCCGGGGAUAACAGGCUUAUCUCCCCCAAGAGUCCACAUCGACGGGGAGGUUUGGCACCUCGAUGUCGGCUCAUCGCAUCCUGGGGCUGGACAAGGUCCCAAGGGUUUGGCUGUUCGCCAAUUAAAGCGGUACGUGAGCUGGGUUUAGAACGUCGUGAGACAGUUCGGUCCCUAUCUGCCGUGGGCGCAGGAUAUUUGAGAGGAUCUGUCCCUAGUACGAGAGGACCGGGAUGGACGAACCUCUAGUGUACCAGUUAUUUCGCCAGAGGUACAGCUGGGUAGCUAUGUUCGGAAUGGAUAACCACUGAAAGCAUCUAAGUGGGAAGCCAACCUCAAGAUUAGAUAUCCCUAUCACCGAGAGGUGAUCUAAAGACUCCUGGUAGACUACCAGGUUGAUAGGCCGGGUGUGUAAGUGUGGUAACAUACUAAGCUGACCGGUACUAAUUGGUCGUGAGGCUUGACCAUAU
RNAcentral lists this ribosomal RNA (3025 nucleotides) under Deltaproteobacteria bacterium. RNAcentral describes it as "23S ribosomal RNA". It matches the Rfam family "Bacterial large subunit ribosomal RNA". The record is from RNAcentral. Lineage: Bacteria; Pseudomonadati; Myxococcota; Myxococcia.